RNAcentral lists this ribosomal RNA (253 nucleotides) under uncultured bacterium. Its description in RNAcentral is "partial 16S ribosomal RNA". It matches the Rfam family "Bacterial small subunit ribosomal RNA", at positions 524 to 776 of the family's 1533-position model. The record is from RNAcentral.
UACGAAGGGGGCUAGCGUUGCUCGGAAUCACUGGGCGUAAAGGGUGCGUAGGCGGGUCUUUAAGUCAGGGGUGAAAUCCUGGAGCUCAACUCCAGAACUGCCUUUGAUACUGAAGAUCUUGAGUUCGGGAGAGGUGAGUGGAACUGCGAGUGUAGAGGUGAAAUUCGUAGAUAUUCGCAAGAACACCCGUGGCGAAGGCGGCUGACUGGAUCGCAACUGACGCUGAGGAACGAAAGCUAGGGGAGCAAACAGG